GACGAACGCUGGCGGCGUGCUUAACACAUGCAAGUCGAACGGUAAGGCCCUUUGGGGUACACGAGUGGCGAACGGGUGAGUAACACGUGGGUGAUCUGCCCUGCACUUCGGGAUAAGCCUGGGAAACUGGGUCUAAUACCGGAUAGGACCACUGCCUGCAUGGGUGGUGGUGGAAAGCUUUUGCGGUGUGGGAGGGUCCCGCGGCCUAUCAGCUUGUUGGUGGGGUGAUGGCCUACCAAGGCGACGACGGGUAGCCGGCCUGAGAGGGUGACCAGCCACACUGGGACUGAGAUACGGCCCAGACUCCUACGGGAGGCAGCAGUGGGGAAUAUUGCACAAUGGGCGCAAGCCUGAUGCAGCGACGCCGCGUGAGGGAUGACGGCCUUCGGGUUGUAAACCUCUUUCAGCACCGACGAAGCGCAAGUGACGGUAGGUGCAGAAGAAGGACCGGCCAACUACGUGCCAGCCGCCGCAGUAA
Molecule: ribosomal RNA, 478 nt
Filed under: uncultured bacterium
Lineage: Bacteria
Description: partial 16S ribosomal RNA
Rfam family: Bacterial small subunit ribosomal RNA
Source: RNAcentral